AGAAAAUGUCUUUUAGAGUUUCUUGAGAUGAAAUGUGGGCUUAAAAUAUUUUAAUAAAAUGAAAAGGUGACACCUCAGUUAUUUUCUAAUUUUAUUUCAGUGACAUGAUGCCUCAAAUAAUAUUUUUGUGGACUAAGCUGAAUAGUUAAGCAUAGUUUAGUUUAUAACAUCUUUAUAUGGGAAAACAUGUUCCAAGUUCUGAACAACCAAUUUCCAAACAAACUUUUGGAACUCAACACAUUCCUAUGUUAAGAACUGCCUGUACUGGUUUCAACCUGUGAACUCACCAACAGCUUGGUCAGGGUUAUUAGCAAAAUAUCAAAAUUGGCUCAUUUAACUAUUCCAUUCCACUUAUUCAUUUGUCCAUUCAUUCAUGCAUGCAUGCAUGUAUACAUGCAUUCAGCAAAUAUUUAUGAAGAGCCUACUUUAGCAGGGCCCUGGGCAGGAAGUGAAAUGAUAAGAACACAGAAUAGAACGAGACAUGGUUGUUCCGUGUCUCACUAGGGAAACCUCUUAGUGAAGCAAAUAAACCAACAAUUCUAAUACAAUAUUUAAAAAAAAAAAAAGAAGAAGAAGAAAGGAAGAGAGAUAAAGAAAGAGAAAAAUAAAGGUAAAUGGGAGACACUCCAGGAAGGGAGGUCAAGGCCUCAAAAAGAAGUAUCUCAGUGUGGACAGGAUACUGCAAGGAGGUCAGCAUUCUGAAGAGUGCAGUGCAAGCUAUGAACUGGCAAGCUAUGAUGCUGGACCUGUGAUCAUGAGGGAAUCAAUAAGCCAUUUUAAGUAAGGACCUACACACUGAAGUAUUUUGAGGUUGUAAGACAAAAUGCCUACAACUCACUCUUGAAUGAUUCAGCAAAGAAACGUACAUACAUACAUGCAUAGGGGGUUAUACCAGAAGAGAAAGGGGCAAAGAUAACAUAUGGAAACACAUUACAAAGGAGCAGAAAUGGUGGAGAAAAGCACCGUGUGCCUCCAAUGAAAGAAAGAGGCCACAACUUGUCCCCAGUUUGAGACAAGAACCUAAAAAUCUUGCCUUUCAGGCCACCAUAUCUCCAUCUUCUAUGCAAAAUAGUUAUUUUGGGAUCCAUCUGUAUGGCAAAUCCAGGAAGACUUCAUGCCACUUAUUUAAGAGUCUGGGCUCCAUCCUAUGUACAGCUCUGCAAAGCAUGCUGGGACCCGAUCAGCUGCCUGUGCACAGAACCAGAAAGGGAAGGAGAAGCUACUUUGGCUCUUGAGUUGAAGUUUAGCCACAGACCUCAAGGGAGCAUCCAGAUUUAUCUGGUUUUGACCAUUCAUGCUGCCAGUAACACCUCUGGACUCCCUUCCUCCCUCCCUCUUCUCCACCAGGGUCAGUGAGAUGAUGAGUGUUCCAUCACUUUGUAAGCUCUAAGUGCUGUACAGCUAUAGGCCAUUAUGUACCACAGCUUCUUCACUAAACACGGUAGCAAAGUACACCUUCCUCUUUCUCUUCUCCUAUUGCAACCCCAAACAAAAUACUAUUCUCUCUACCAAAGUUCCUCCCACUACCUGCUUAUUUAACAAAUUCUCUCUGCAUCAGAUUUCUCAUAACUCAGUUCUUCCAGAAGGCCAUAUGCUGAUUCAUCUUAGGACCUAGAAAAUGGACAGGCAAGAAUGAGAUGCUUAGAAUCGGCCUACCCUAUCCCCCUGUGUUUACCUGACCCUUUCUUUUGUGAAUCACUUAACACUCACCACCUACAAUAAACAUAAAUAGAC
Molecule: long non-coding RNA, 1734 nt
Filed under: Homo sapiens (human)
Lineage: Eukaryota; Metazoa; Chordata; Mammalia; Primates; Hominidae
Description: HSALNT0146180
Source: RNAcentral